AGACAUUAAUCUUAAGUAUCCAGGGAGCCCUAAAACAUUGUAUCCCACUAGCAAGGACCAUGGUAAUUGCCACGUAAAUCCCCUCCAUUAUGUGGCCCUUAUUAUGACCAGCCAGCCAAGGCUUGCCUUUAAAUCAUACCAAUUGAACCGAGCCUUGUAGAAACACUAUCACCUACGCAUACCUCUGCUUCUUUUCAUUAACCUGCUAUCCUCUUUACAAAUGGGAUUCUUCACCCACUCCCUUCUUCUAGAUUAGCAAUGCCCUGUUAAGUAAACGAACACGAAAUUCAAAGGGAAACAGGAGCAAUCAUCAUUACCAGCUGCCGUGUUAAGCAUUGCGAAAACGCUCACGAUUCACAGAAAAAUCCAUGCUGUUCUUUGAAGGCAUUCAAGCCUUAAUAGCUAGCUGGAUGAAUGUUUAACUUCUAGGCCAGGCACUACUCUGUCCCAACAAUAAGCCCUGUACAUUGGGAAAGGUGCCGAGACAUGAACUUUGGUCUUCUCUGCAAUCCAUCUGGAGCAUUCACUGACAACAUCGACUUUGAAGUUGCACUGACCUGGCCAGCCCUGCCACUUACCAGGUUGGCUCUGUAUGGCUAAGCGUUUUCUCCUAAAAUCCCUUGAAAACUGUGAGAAGACCAUAAGAAGAUCAUAUCUUUAAUUCUAUUUCACAAGUCACACAAUAUUCCAAUCAAAUACAGAUGGUUGAGAAAAGUCAUCCAUCUUCCCUCCCCACCCUCCCACAGCCCCUCAACCACUGCCCUGAAACUUAUAUGCUGUUAUCCGCAGCUCCAUCUGGAGCAUCACAGCUACUGUCAACCCUGACGCUCUUUCUGAAAAAACACCGGAUGGACAUCAGAACUAUUUCUUUAAGGAUGUUACUGAGCCACACAGGAAAACUUGCCUUAUGAUUUUGAAUGCACGGAUCUGAUUUGACUAAACAUGAUAACUAGAGAAUCACCCAAUCUACUCCCAUUUUCAACUCUAAAUCAUCAGAGUGUCUCAAAUCCAAAGCACACACAGACCAGCCUGGCCAACACGGUGAAACUCCACCCCUACUAAAAGUAUAAAAAUUAUCCAGGUGUGGUGGCGGGCGCCUGUAAUCCAAGCUACUUGGGAGUCUGGAGGCAGGAGAAUCCCUUGAACCUGGGAGAUGGAGGUUGCAGUGAGCAGAGAUCACACCACCGCACUCUAGCCUGGGCCACAAAUCAACAACAACAACAACAACAAAAAACAAAGCGCACACAGAGACUGAGGUCCUCUUUGGCAUUGAGAAGAUGGCUAUGCAAGUCCCAACUAGCAAGUGCAAACUUCCCAGCUUCACUUCUGCCAGUGUCCCUUCACCCCUUCUCAACCCCACUGGGAGGCAGGAGGGUGCUUGACAAUAACAGCCUUGGCAUCACUCUGCCAGGGUGUAAUAGGAACUGUUACAAUUCUGAGAUUCUGUAAGUGCUUUGAGAUUUUGGAGUCAGACUGCUUGAACUUGAAUCCUGGCCCUCUCAUCAGAGACUUGACUUAUUUUAGGCAAGUUAUAUAACCAAUUUUACCUCAGUUCCUUACCCAUAAAAUGGGUCUAAUGAGAGUACCUACCACACAGAAUUUUGAUGAAAACUGAAUGAGAUGAAGGCCUUUAAGGCAGUGGUCCCCAACCCUGGGGACACAGACAGGUACCAUUUUGUGGCCUGUUAGGAACUGGGCCACACAGCAGGAGGUGAGCAGUGGGUGAGUGAGAUCAGCGUUAUUUACAGCUGCUCCCCAUUGCUCACCUUACUGCCUGAGCUCCACCUCCUGUCAGAUCAGCAGUGGCAUUAAAUUCUCAUAGCAGCACAAACCCUGUCAUGAACUGCACAUGCGAGGGAUCUAGGUUGUGCGCUCCUUAUGAGAAUCUAAUGCCUAAUGACCUGUCACCGUCUCCCAUCACCCCUAGAUGGGAGUGUCUAGUUGCAGGAAACAAGCUCAGGGCUUCCACUGAUUCUACAUUAUGGUGAGUUGUAUAAUUAUUUCAUUAUAUAAUACAAUGUAAUAAUAAUAGAAACACAGUGCACAACAAAUGUAAUGUGCUUGAAUCAUCCCCAAACCAUCCCAGUCCACGGUCUUCCACAUUUUGUCUUUUCACAAAAUUGUCUUCCACAAAACUGGUCCCUGGUGCCAAAAAGGCUUGGGACCACUGCUUUAAAGCCUUUGCAUAGUGCUUAGAAUUGAGGGGGAAAAAAAAAACAAAAACAAUGUAGCUAGUUGCUACAAUCACUAUAUUGGUGAGUUUCAAAAGGAAAAGAAUUCUGUCCCAUUUAUGCUUGAGCCUUGAGUUGCUAACCAAGCCUGACACAAAAUUACUGUUGAAGGGAUGUGUGAGUCCUAAUUGAAAUGAGGCCUCUUAAGGGAAUUGUGGACCAAACCCCAAGCAGGCAGAAAGCCGUAUCUUAAUUAUUGCAAGUAUUUCAGGCAAGGUGUGGAUGGCCAUUUGAAUUCAAGCAGACUAGGACCUGGGAUGAGAAAGAAGGUGUGUACGUGACUUGAUCUUUGAACUUUAGCUCACCAUCUGGAAGAAGGCUGAGUAUUCUCUGCACUCACAUAGUAGCUAAUGCCUACUCCCCAGCCACCCACAAUUCUUUCUGUAGGAAGGCUCGCUAGAAUACUUUGUGAUAUUGGAUAUUAGUUCCAUAUUCUACUGUGUAUCUUAGUUCAACCAAAUUGUAAUCAUCUGAUAUUUAUUUCUUUUAAUAUAAAUAUAAGUAUAUUAAGUCUUGGCAUGCUUGCUCAGUCUCUCUCUCUCUCCCAUUCCUCCCCGCUCCCCUCUCUCUUUCCCAACAGGCUUGGAAAGCAGGCAUCACCAUGCCUAUUUAACAGUUGGGGUCCCUUGGCCACCAGGUGCUGGAGUAGGAAUCUGAGCCCGGACAUGCCUGAUCUGUAAAUUUUGUGUUUUCCCCACUGUGCUGGGCAGAUCACAGCUAUCAGCGCCAAAUUCAUAGAAGGGGCGCCCCCUGUGGUCAAUUGAGGGAUUUGUGUUUGAGGUAGAUCUCAAGAAGGAAUGGGUGGGGAACUUAGCCUAGGACAGAGCAGAAAGGAGCCCUCACUCCCCAAGCACCAACGGCCUCAGUCCUUCCUGCUGACUCCAGCCUCUAGCUCUCACCCAGACUAUCUGCAUCCUUCUCUCCACCACGCUCCUUUGGAACCUGCGUAAAACACAGAUUAAAGGAAUUCCGCCUUACUUCCCUUUCCGCAUUAUGACCAAAUGGUUUUACACUAUCAUUGAACAGUUUAGUACAAAACAUGCCACCUUUUAAUCUAUUCAUUCAUUUAACAAAUACUUUGGAGUGUUUACCAUGUGCCAAGUGCUGUUCUAAUAGACAUAAGCUGUGAGGUUAUGCUUAUCUGAUUCUCACAGCAACAGCUUUCGAGAUAUGAAUUGGUAUACUCAUUUGACAGAUGAGGAAAUUGAAUUCAUGUAGUGAGAAAGGAAGAGCUGCAAUUCAGGGUUACUGGUUUCUCCUGCACUAAGCACUGAGCCACACUAGAAGAGAAGGCAUGAGGAAGACAAAAGUGAGAAGGCACUCAGGAAAUAUUAGUUGCAUGAACGAAGGCUGCAUUUUCAUUAGAACAACAUGCAGUUCAACCCCUUCAUGUUUCAAUGAGGGUUCAGAUACCCAGAGGGCUAUGCUAUCAUCCUGGAGCCCACUCUGCUAACAAUUAGCAGAACGGAAGCCUUAAUUUCCAGAUUCUAGUGAACUUGAUGAGUCAAGACUAUUGCAAUUGGAAAUCUGUUCUCCUCUGCUGCUGCAUUCCCUGCUUAAUACUCAAGCCAGAAACCAGGAAGGCUGUGGCUUGCCUUUUCACUUCUUGUGUCCUGUUUAAGAAAUAUCUGCUAUCCCAAGCAUCUGGCAUCUUUCUUGACAUAUGUAGCAGUUGCUUUUUGACAGCUUGCUUCUUCAGUGAAUGAAUAAAUUAAUAAAGAGAAAUGUGAUGUUCAGUGAUCCAUUUUGCAGGAUAAACCAGUAUUCUGGACUAAGCCAACGUGGGAGACCCUAGGAGGCCUGUUUGAGAAAGUGACAUUUAAAUUGAGACUUGGCGGUGGCUGUGGCUACAUAUCUAAUUGCAAACUCCUAGAGAAGGGCUCAACAGUGAGUGCUGAGGCUGCACAGAGGAGGAAGGCAGCACAAUGAUGGAAGGCUUCCUAAAGAGGACAGCAGACAGAGCAUGAAUGAGACCCCCAAAGAAGGGAAGCAAAUGAGACAAGCCCCACAAUUAUUCUGGCUUUUUGCCUAGAGACAAUCUAUGAACUGUGGGGCAAACAACAGAGAUCAAAACAGCUUGGCAAUCUGAGUUGAGGAUGAAGACACCAUUGGGGCAGAAGCAGCGAUAGCUCAAAUUUGUGGAGCAAAGUACCGGAGAAGAUAAACUGCUCCAAAUUCCAAGAGGCUGGGCAAAGAAAAACUUUGUGGAAAGAAGAAUUAUCAGGGAACUCUAAGCUGAAAAAUUGCCAGGGCUCACACAGACCUGGGGAAUUGGUUGAGUUUAUGCCACCUACAGGAUAGAGAACUUGCUGAAUGUUCAAGGAUUUUGUUACAGAUGCAAGAUGACACUUAAAGGGAUGCAAAACUAACAUCUCUGGAUUAGUCUUAAUAAAGUUUAAAAAUAAGCUUAGAAAAAGUCAAA
Molecule: long non-coding RNA, 4653 nt
Filed under: Homo sapiens (human)
Lineage: Eukaryota; Metazoa; Chordata; Mammalia; Primates; Hominidae
Description: PREDICTED lncRNA (TCONS_00257662)
Source: RNAcentral